GGGUUGUCAUGCCAAUGGCACUGCCCGGUAGCUAAAUGCGGAAGAGAUAAGUGCUGAAAGCAUCUAAGCACGAAACUUGCCCCGAGAUGAGUUCUCCCUGAGACUAUAAGUCUCCUGAAGGAACGUUAAAGACGAUGACGUUGAUAGGCCGGGUGUGUAAGCGCAGCGAUGCGUUGAGCUAACCGGUACUAAUGAACCGUGAGGCUUAACCUU
This 213-nucleotide ribosomal RNA is filed under the name Klebsiella pneumoniae. Its description in RNAcentral is "partial 23S ribosomal RNA". It matches the Rfam family "Bacterial large subunit ribosomal RNA", at positions 2718 to 2925 of the family's 2925-position model. Lineage: Bacteria; Pseudomonadati; Pseudomonadota; Gammaproteobacteria; Enterobacterales; Enterobacteriaceae. RNAcentral also lists the same sequence under 35 other names. The record is from RNAcentral.